CCUACGGGAGGCAGCAGUGAGGAAUAUUGGUCAAUGGACGAGAGCCUGAACCAGCCAAGUCGCGUGAAGGAUGACUGCCCUAUGGGUUGUAAACUUCUUUUAUAUGGGAAUAAAAUGCUCUACGUGUGGGAUUUUGUAUGUACCAUAUGAAUAAGGCUCCGCUAACUCCGUGCCAGCAGCCGCGGUAAUACGGAGGAUCCGAGCGUUAUCCGGAUUUAUUGGGUUUAAAGGGUGCGUAGGUGGAUUGUUAAGUUAGUUGUGAAAGUCUGAGGCUCAACCGUAAAAUUGCAGUUGAAACUGGCAGUCUUGAGUACGGGAGAGGUAGGCGGAAUUCGUGGUGUAGCGGUGAAAUGCAUAGAUAUCACGAAGAACUCCGAUUGCGAAGGCAGCUCACUGGACCGCAACUGACACUGAUGCUCGAAAGUGUGGGGAUCAAACAGGAUUAGAUACCCUAGUAGUC
Molecule: ribosomal RNA, 460 nt
Filed under: uncultured bacterium
Lineage: Bacteria
Description: partial 16S ribosomal RNA
Rfam family: Bacterial small subunit ribosomal RNA
Source: RNAcentral